GUAUAAGCAAUUAUACCGUGAAACUGCGAAUGGCUCAUUAAAUCAGUUAUCGUUUAUUUGAUAGUACCUUACUACUUGGAUAACCGUGGUAAUUCUAGAGCUAAUACAUGCUAAAAACCCCAACUUCGGGAGGGGUGUAUUUAUUAGAUAAAAAACCAAUGCCCUUCGGGGCUCCUUGGUGAUUCAUGAUAACUUCUCAGAUCGCAUGGCUUUACGCCGGCGACGGUUCAUUCAAAUUUCUGCCCUAUCAACUUUCGAUGGUAAGGUAUUGGCUUACCAUGGUUUCAACGGGUAACGGGGAAUUAGGGUUCGAUUCCGGAGAGGGAGCCUGAGAAACGGCUACCACAUCCAAGGAAGGCAGCAGGCGCGCAAAUUACCCAAUUCCGAUACGGAGAGGUAGUGACAAUAAAUACUGAUACAGGGCUCUUUUGGGUCUUGUAAUUGGAAUGAGUACAAUUUAAACCUCUUAACGAGGAACAAUUGGAGGGCAAGUCUGGUGCCAGCAGCCGCGGUAAUUCCAGCUCCAAUAGCGUAUAUUAAAGUUGUUGCAGUUAAAAAGCUCGUAGUUGAACCUUUGGCCUGGCUGGCAGGUCCGCCUCACCGCGUGCACUUGUCCGGCCGGGCCUUUUCUUCUGGAGAACCGCAUGCCCUUCACUGGGUGUGUUGGGGACCAGGACUUUUACUUUGAAAAAAUUAGAGUGUUCAAAGCAGGCCUUUGCUCGAAUACGUUAGCAUGGAAUAAUAGAAUAGGACGUGCGGUCCUAUUUUGUUGGUUUCUAGGACCGCCGUAAUGAUUAAUAGGGACAGUCGGGGGCAUCAGUAUUCAAUUGUCAGAGGUGAAAUUCUUGGAUUUAUUGAAGACUAACUACUGCGAAAGCAUUUGCCAAGGAUGUUUUCAUUAA
This 902-nucleotide ribosomal RNA is filed under the name Pleosporales sp. PG170709B1. RNAcentral's name for it is "SSU rRNA". It matches the Rfam family "Eukaryotic small subunit ribosomal RNA", at positions 63 to 976 of the family's 1831-position model. The record is from RNAcentral. Lineage: Eukaryota; Fungi; Ascomycota; Dothideomycetes; Pleosporales.